RNAcentral lists this unclassified non-coding RNA (325 nucleotides) under soil metagenome. Its description in RNAcentral is "partial contains 5.8S ribosomal RNA, internal transcribed spacer 2, and large subunit ribosomal RNA". The stretch from base 1 to 120 matches the Rfam family "5.8S ribosomal RNA", at positions 35 to 154 of the family's 154-position model. The record is from RNAcentral.
GAUGAAGAACGUAGCAAAAUGCGAUAAGUAAUGCGAAUUGCAGAAUUCAGUGAGUCAUCGAAUCUUUGAACGCACAUUGCGCCCUGUGGUAUUCCGCAGGGCAUGCCUGUUCGAGCGUCAUUUCAACCCUCAAGCCCCGCUUGGUGUUGGGCCCCGCCCGCCGUGGCCGGCCCUAAAGACAGUGGCGGCGCCGCCUGGCCCUCAGCGUAGUACAGCUCUCGCUCCAGGGUCCGGCGGCCGCCUGCCAGAACCCCCCCAACUCUGUGGUUGACCUCGGAUCAGGUAGGGAUACCCGCUGAACUUAAGCAUAUCAAUAAGCGGAGGA